CCCGCCCGCUGGCGGCAUGCCUAACACAUGCAAGUCGAACGAGACCUUCGGGUCUAGUGGCGCACGGGUGCGUAACGCGUGGGAACCUGCCCUUAGGUUCGGAAUAACUCCCCGAAAGGGGUGCUAAUACCGGAUAAUGUCUUCGGACCAAAGAUUUAUCGCCUUUGGAUGGGCCCGCGUUGGAUUAGCUAGUUGGUAGGGUAAAAGCCUACCAAGGCGACGAUCCAUAGCUGGUCUGAGAGGAUGAUCAGCCACACUGGGACUGAGACACGGCCCAGACUCCUACGGGAGGCAGAAGUGGGGAAUAUUGGACAAUGGGCGAAAGCCUGAUCCAGCAAUGCCGCGUGAGUGAUGAAGGCCUUAGGGUUGUAAAGCUCUUUUACCCGGGAUGAUAAUGACAGUACCGGGAGAAUAAGCUCCGGCUAACUCCGUG
This 433-nucleotide ribosomal RNA is filed under the name uncultured bacterium. RNAcentral's name for it is "partial 16S ribosomal RNA". It matches the Rfam family "Bacterial small subunit ribosomal RNA", at positions 34 to 507 of the family's 1533-position model. The record is from RNAcentral.